CUACGGGCGGCUCCAGUGAGGAAUUUUGCGCAAUGGGGGGAACCCUGACGCAGCAACGCCGCGUGAGUGAAGAAGGCCCUUGGGUCGUAAAGCUCUGUCAACAGGGAAGAAGUUACUGGGUAUUAAUAGUAUUUAGUAUUGACAGUACCUGUGAAGGAAGCACCGGCUAACUCCGUGCCGGCAGGCCGCGGGUAAUACGGGGGGUGCAAGCGUUAUUCGGAAUUAUUGGGCGUAAAGGGCGCGCAGGCGGCCUUGUCAGUCAGAUGUGAAAGGCCAGGGCUCAACCCUGGAAGUGCAUUUGAAACAGCAAGGCUUGAGUACGGUAGAGGAAAGGGGAAUUCCUGGUGUAGAGGUGAAAUUCGUAGAUAUCAGGAGGAACACCGGUGGCGAAGGCGCCUUUCUGGGCCUGUACUGACGCUGAGGCGCGAAGGCGUGGGUAGCGAACAGGAUUAGAUACCCCGGUAGUC
Molecule: ribosomal RNA, 467 nt
Filed under: uncultured bacterium
Lineage: Bacteria
Description: partial 16S ribosomal RNA
Rfam family: Bacterial small subunit ribosomal RNA
Source: RNAcentral